Molecule: RNase P RNA, 239 nt
Filed under: Alphaproteobacteria bacterium
Lineage: Bacteria; Pseudomonadati; Pseudomonadota; Alphaproteobacteria
Description: partial RNase P RNA component class A
Rfam family: Bacterial RNase P class A
About the family: Ribonuclease P (RNase P) is a ubiquitous endoribonuclease, found in archaea, bacteria and eukarya as well as chloroplasts and mitochondria. Its best characterised activity is the generation of mature 5'-ends of tRNAs by cleaving the 5'-leader elements of precursor-tRNAs.
Source: RNAcentral
UCAGACGGUCGGAUGGCCGCUCUUUGUCGGGUUCGCUCGGCGGAGGGAGGAAAGUCCGGGCUCCACGGAAGCACGGUGCCGGGUAACGCCCGGCGGGGGCGACCCCAGGGAAAGUGCCACAGAAACACACCGCCGAGCUCGCCGCCUUCCGGGGCGGCGGGCGGUAAGGGUGAAAUGGUGCGGUAAGAGCGCACCGCGCCGCCGGCAACGGCGGCGGCAGGGUAAACCCCACCGGGAGC